GCCAGAUGGACAUGGGUCAGGAGAUGAGGCUCAGGCAGAAGUUACCUCCACUGCUCUAAACAAGACCAAGUCAUCAAGAAAAAGGGGAUAAAAUCUGGGGGAUUUACCUUCAACUCAUCUAUUAUUGAUGGUUAGUCUAGAAUGGGUUAACAUCUUUUUUUCCUACCCUGGUGAACAACCUAUUGCAAAACAAAACUGGGCAACAAAGGAAUGCGCUGCAGUUGAAAGGCAUUUGAGAAGGUUCUUGGUGGUGAAUGAAGCACCAGGAAAAAAAGACUGUCAGCAGUGUCUUCCUGCAGAACCUGAAGCCCUUGAAGGCAGAGACUGAGGGCAUUAAAAUAUUUUGGUAAAAUCGGCAUUUCUUUCCACAGGAGAAAAUUUCAGUAACAGAUCAAAAUGCACAGUGUUACUGAGGUCCUGAAAGCUGUGCAUUAUGAUAUUUUCAUGCAAUAUUCUCUGGAGGUGAAGGUUUACACCAGUGAGAGUGCUUAAGUUUUGUUAAAAUAAACUGUGUUAAUGGUG
Long non-coding RNA from Silurus meridionalis, 522 nucleotides. RefSeq lists it as uncharacterized. Lineage: Eukaryota; Metazoa; Chordata; Actinopteri; Siluriformes; Siluridae. The record is from RefSeq and is a predicted model, not a curated record. The transcript is spliced from 2 exons.